Molecule: ribosomal RNA, 682 nt
Filed under: Cleoserrata paludosa
Lineage: Eukaryota; Viridiplantae; Streptophyta; Magnoliopsida; Brassicales; Cleomaceae
Description: eukaryotic LSU rRNA
Rfam family: 5.8S ribosomal RNA (bases 272-427)
Source: RNAcentral
UCGAACCUAAUCCGGAAAGGAACAACUCGUGAACGUGUUAACACACAUGCGCUGCGCGGGGACUCUAACCGGUCGCCGCGCACGCACACUCCGUCGGAUCGCGUGCGGCAGAACGAGCGCACGCUCGUUGGGCCGUAUGCGGUUCGGUCGGAAUUCACCAAACCCCGGCGCGAAAAGCGCCAAGGACCAUUCAACGAAAAGCCAGCUCACUCCGAGUAACGCCGGCGAGGUGUUCAUUCGUGUGGCGCUGCGAUCAUAAGUAGUCUAAAACGACUCUCGGCAACGGAUAUCUCGGCUCUCGCAUCGAUGAAGAACGUAGCGAAAUGCGAUACUUGGUGUGAAUUGCAGAAUCCCGUGAACCAUCGAGUUUUUGAACGCAAGUUGCGCCCCAAGCCGUCAGGCCGAGGGCACGCUUGCCUGGGUGUCACGCAUCGUCAAUCUCCUCCACCCGUCUAAGCUCUAUACGCUGGGGUGGUACUACGGAGAAGGAGAUUGGUCUCCCGUGUGUUACCGCAUGCGGUUGGCCUAAAAUCGAGGUACGGGGGCGUGGAGCUUCCUGACGAGCGGUGGUGUAGAUCAAAAUGCCUCGUGGAAACGUCGGUUGCUUCCGUCCCGCAGGGACUCUAUGACCCUCUUAGCGUCGCUUGCACGAUUCUUCGRACCAUACCACAGRKCAAGCGSG